Neopelma chrysocephalum (saffron-crested tyrant-manakin) is the source of this 265-nucleotide long non-coding RNA. RefSeq lists it as uncharacterized. The transcript is spliced from 3 exons. The record is from RefSeq and is a predicted model, not a curated record. NCBI's taxonomy places the organism in Eukaryota, Metazoa, Chordata, Aves, Passeriformes, Pipridae.
AGGUUCCUGCUCUAUGGCCGGUACUGCAGUCAGGUGGAAGCGGCCGCGCGACGCCUGGACCAACUCUCCACCUGCACCGACCUGCGCAUGAAGCUCCAGGAAUGUUCCCAACGGGCCAACAACGGGCGGUUCUCGCUGCGGGACCUGCUGAUGGUGCCCAUGCAGAGGGUGCUCAAGUACCACCUGCUGCUCCAGGAGCUGGUGAAGUUGACCCCGGAGCCGGCGGAGAGGGAGCGGCUCAGGGGGGCCCUGGAUGCCAUGAGGG